GUUAAUGUAGCUUAAUUUUAAAGCAAGACACUGAAAAUGUCUAGACGGGUACUCAUAACCCCAUAAACA
Molecule: transfer RNA, 69 nt
Filed under: Callithrix kuhlii (Wied's marmoset)
Lineage: Eukaryota; Metazoa; Chordata; Mammalia; Primates; Cebidae
Description: tRNA-Phe
Rfam family: tRNA
About the family: Transfer RNA (tRNA) molecules are approximately 80 nucleotides in length.
Source: RNAcentral